This 301-nucleotide ribosomal RNA is filed under the name uncultured bacterium. RNAcentral's name for it is "partial 16S ribosomal RNA". It matches the Rfam family "Bacterial small subunit ribosomal RNA", at positions 509 to 809 of the family's 1533-position model. The record is from RNAcentral.
CAGCAGCCACGGUAAUACGUAGGGUGCAAGCGUUAAUCGGAAUUACUGGGCGUAAAGCGUGCGUAGGCGGUUCGUUAAGUCUGUUGUGAAAGCCCCGGGCUCAACCUGGGAAUGGCAAUGGAUACUGGCGAGCUAGAGUGUGUCAGAGGAUGGUGGAAUUCCCGGUGUAGCGGUGAAAUGCGUAGAGAUCGGGAGGAACAUCAGUGGCGAAGGCGGCCAUCUGGGACAACACUGACGCUGAGGCACGAAGGCGUGGGGAGCAAACAGGAUUAGAUACCCCCGUAGUCCCUGUCUCUUAUAA